RNAcentral lists this long non-coding RNA (337 nucleotides) under Homo sapiens (human). RNAcentral describes it as "HSALNT0026543". Lineage: Eukaryota; Metazoa; Chordata; Mammalia; Primates; Hominidae. The record is from RNAcentral.
AGGGGCCCCAGUUGUAUUUCUCUGCGACUCUCUUGUGGAUUUUCCAUGAUCCAUUAUGUGCACAUUAUCCAGAUGGCCUGAAGAAUGCUGUCCAUGCAUGGGUUUAGUCCUGGUUCCUGAGACCCUGUCUGAAAAAGGGGGAUGAAAAUUACCAGGGUCAUCUCUCACCAAAUAUGGCUCUACGCCGGAGCUGGACUCAUUCUUCACAAUACAUGGCUGCAACAUGUCAGUGCCCUCCAUGCUCCAGCUCCUGGGUAGGAGCAUUGCCACAGACAGGAGGGCUAUGGACAAGUUCUCCUCUUUCUUCUCUUCAAUACCUGCUUCAAAUAUGGCAGAG